GACGAACGCUGGCGGCGUGCUUAACACAUGCAAGUCGAACGGUGAAGCCCCAGUUUGCUGGAGUGGAUCAGUGGCGAACGGGUGAGUAACACGUUAGCAACCUGCCCCUGACUCUGGCAUAAGCUCAGGAAACGGCGGCUAAUACUGGAUACGAGAUGCGUCCGCAUGGGCACUCUCUGGAAAGUUAGUCGGUUGGGGAUGGGCUCGCGGCCUAUCAGCUUGUUGGUGAGGUAAUGGCACACCAAGGCGAGGACGGGUAGCGGGCCUGGGAGGGCGACCGGCCACACUGGAACUGAGAUGCGGCCCAGACUCCUACGGGAGGCAGGAGUGGAGAAUGUUGCACAAUGGGCGGGAGCCUGGUGCAGCGAAGCCGCGUGGGGGAAGACGGCCUGCGGGUUGUAAAGCACAUUCAGCAGGGAAGAGGCGAAAAUGACGGUACCGGAAGAAGAAGCCCCGGCUAACUACGUG
This 468-nucleotide ribosomal RNA is filed under the name uncultured bacterium. Its description in RNAcentral is "partial 16S ribosomal RNA". It matches the Rfam family "Bacterial small subunit ribosomal RNA", at positions 28 to 507 of the family's 1533-position model. The record is from RNAcentral.